RNAcentral lists this transfer RNA (65 nucleotides) under Trichodes sp. RNAcentral's name for it is "tRNA-Arg". The record is from RNAcentral. Lineage: Eukaryota; Metazoa; Arthropoda; Insecta; Coleoptera; Cleridae.
UUAAUAAGAAGCAAUUUUGCAUUUAGUUUCGACCUAAAAGUUAGAUUUAAUUUAAAUCCUUAUUU